GAUGAAACCGGAGAGGUUGUUAUGGGACAGAUUAAGGUUCUCUAAGCUCUCCAAACCUUCGAUUUGUGGUGGGAUUUCUCCUGAAAGCAAGUUGUGACUCAGAUCUAACUGGGAGAGGUGACUCAGCUUACCCAUCUGAGCUGGAAUUCUGUUGCUAAGUUUGUUAUUGCUCAGGUUCAAGUAAUGUAAGUUCAAGCAGGCACCCAAGUUCUCUGUUAUUGACCCAUUCAAUCUGUUUGCUGAUAGAUCGAGAUGGGCAAGACUGAACAGAGAUCCAAGUUCGGGAGGUAUACUUCCAGAAAGUUGGUUAUCAUUUAAUUUUAGCUCCAACAGAGAAGUUAAACUUCCCAUUUUCUUUGGGAUUUCCCCAACCAAAUGAUUUGAAGAAAGAUCAAGCAAAGUUAGAUUAGUUGAGAUUCCAAAAUCUUCUGGUAUGCUCCCUGUAAUAUCGUUACCGGCCAUCUCCAGCCUUUGUAGUUGUGGGCACCUUCCCCAGUUAUGAGAGAGUUCGCCAUGAAACCUGUUGUAGCUCAAAUCGAUGUAUUCCAGGUUUGGACAGUCACCAACUACCUCAGAUAUAUUUCCAGUGAGUUGAUUUCCCCCGAACAGAGCUCUGGUUAAGUUUCUGCAAUUUUUCAUGCUUUUAGGGAUGGGACCACUGAGAAGGUUGUCGCUCACUGUAAAGCGUACCAGAGAUCCACCUUGGCAAAUUCCUUCUGGUAAAGAGCCAGACAGCCGAUUUGUGUCGAUUUCUAGCACAACCAACUUAUGAAGUUUCCCAAUUUCUUUAGGAAAGUAACCAGAAAGAUGGUUAUCACGGAGGAAUAAAAUUUCUAAGUUGGUCAGAUUACCCAGUGAAGUAGGAAUGGAACCAUUGAGUUGGUUUUCUGAAAGUUCUAGAUCAACAAGAGACUUCAAGUUACCUAUUUCUGGAGGAAUGGGACCGGAAAGUUGAUUGGCAUAGAGAUGCAGGAGGGUUAGGCCACUGAGAUCACCCAAGGACGCAGGGAUUGGACCAGAAAGAUUGUUUGCGUAGAGGCUUAUACCUUGCAGAGAUGUCAAAUUUCCUAUUUCUGGUGGGAUAUGCCCGGAGAGUUGAUUGUUGAAUAGGUACAACGUGGUUAAACGUUUCAAGUUUCCGAAAGUGGAAGGGAUGAGACCUGUGAGAUUGUUGGUAUCCGAGUAUAUCUCAACAAGGUUGGCGAGAUUUCCCAUUUCUGGAGGAAUGGAACCGGAAAGUUGAUUUUCAUAGAGAUACAAAGAGGCCAAGUUGCUCAAAUUACCCAAAGAAGCAGGAAUAGAACCCUCCAGUUGGUUGGUGUACAAAGCAAGCUCAUAAAGAGAUGACAACUGACCGAUUUCAUGAGGAAUUGAACCAUUGAGCUGAUUUUGAACCAGGUGCAGGACCUCAAGGUUAGUUAAUAGGCCAAUUUCCGGUGGAAUCCCUCCUGAGAACUGGUUGGUGGACAGAUCAAGGUAUUUGAGCUUGGAGAGGAGACCGAUUUGGGGUGGGAUAGGACCAGAGAGGUUGUUGAUGCAGACAUCAACGUAUGCAAGAUUGGGAAAAGAUGAAAAUGAGAAGGCUUGGAGCGUACCUCUUAAACCGGACUCUGUGAGGUUUAUUCUGAUGACACUCCCUGCAUGGUUGCAGGAUAUCCCAUACCAUUUGCAUGGACCGGUUGCCGUUCCAUGGUGGGUAGAAGAAUUGGUGGAGUUGUUAGGAUCCGGAUAAAGAGUCCACGAAAGGAGGAAAGAAUGGUUAUGGUUGUGAAGGGUAGAUUUCCAUUUGAGGAGAGCUUGUGUUUCUUCAUUAGAAUAAGAAGAAACAUGAUCUGAACAAAUUAACAUAACCAAGAGGAGUAGGGAAACAAGGGAGAGCAUUUUCUGUAAGGUUGAGAACGCCAUGUAUAGUUUUAGUUGAUAAAUUGCAUAUGCUGCUUCACAUCUUCUUUUAUACACAUUUGGUUCCUUUGGUCCUUUUAGGUGACUGUCUUGUUCACGCGUAUUCCCACAGGGAAGAAAGUUGCGUUUUAAUGUCAAGAUCAAGGUCCUUUGAAGCAUGGCUCCUUUUUCUUUCUUUUUUCCAUGGAUUGCACUGUACUAGUAUGGUGGUCUUCCUGUGUGAUUAUGGUGGUUGAAAUCUUCUCUUUUUGCAAAUUUGGAAAUUAAGUUUAGCAGGUGUUGUUGAACAAUAUUUUUAAUUGUUUUUAGUUGAUUUCACUUAUUUUUAAGGGUUGUUUUAAAAAAAAAAAAAUUAUAUAAAUAGGAAGAAUGAUUAAAAAUAAAAUAAUAGAUAUAAAAAUUAUUUUUAAAACAUAUUUAAGAACAUUAAAAAUAAGUUAAAAAUACCAAUUUCUUAAACAAAAUUUUAUUUUACAAAAUAUCAGAGAACAAUUUUAAUUUUUUUUUUCAAAAAUUGUUAUUCAUAAUUGUUUGUAAAAAUAUUCUAUUAAAUAGAGCCUAAUUCUUUUUGGGUCUUUACUUUCAUGUUUAUAAUCAUAAUGGUUUGCCCUUUAUUAACAAACUUGAAGGUUUGUUUUAGUUAAAUAAUUGCAAAAGAAAAUUUUAGUAUGUCAUAUUUAAUCACUUAAGUGGAUUUAUUAAAACUUAGGUGAUGUUUUUAAUAGUAUUUAAUAAUGUUAAGUAUUAAGUUGUUUAUUUUUUUUUAAUAUUUUAUUUCAAUUAAGUAUUAAAAAAUAUAGAAAAAUUAAUAUGUUGCUUUUGAUAUUAAGAAAAAGUCAAAUAUUUUGAUUUUUUUCUAUUUAAUGAAAAAAUUUAAGAAAUAAGUAAUAAGUUAACAAAAAGUGAAAAAAUAAAUAAUUUGAAAUCUAAAAGCAAAUUACUUUAAAAAAAAAAGUUAAAAAAAAUGUCAUCUUAAUAAUUAAUAUUUAGAAAAUUUUAAAGAAAGUGAAAAAGAAAAAAAUGAAGUGAAAAAAAUGGAUUUUAAGUUAAUAAUUUAUUUUUAUAUGGUUUUUAAAACUUAUUUUAAUUAUUUUCUUUUAUAUAUAAAAAUUAAAUUAUUUAAAAACAUUUAAAAAUUUAUAAAUAAUUUUAAUUAUAUUUACUAACUUUUUUUUAUGUAUUUUAAUCAAACAUUAGAAAAUACUUUUUUUAAAUAUCUUUUCGUCUCUCCUUUCUUAGAACUAAAGAUAAGAAUGAUAAUUAAAUAUGAUUUAAAUUUAAAUUAUAUUUAACUUGUUGACUUAACAUUUAUUAUCUAAUUUUUAAUUUUUAAGUAUUAAGAUUAUUUGUUCAUAUUACUUAAUUUUUUAAAAAUUAUUAACCUCAUAUUAUCAAGUAACAAGAUUAUUUGAGAGGUACAAGGAAGAUAAAGGGACAUGGGCUGUUCAGGUAAAAAAAAAAAAAUGAAAUUUAGAAAAAGUUAAUUUUUUUGAGCUGUUAUUCUAAGUUUUUUUUUUUUUUUAGGUUUUAUAGGUUUGAUAGGACUUUAUGAUUGGACUCCAUAAUUUCCCUUUGGUCCUUUUCAUUUUUGAAUUUCACUGAGUUUAGCCCACUCUAUUUAACCCAAUUUUUAAGGCCCAUUGAGUUUAUAUUGAAACCCAGGUCUACUUGAUAAUAUGAGGUUAAUAAUUUUAUACACACUCACUUUGUAAGAUUGAAUCCCAGCCAUUGAUUUUAUAUUGAAACCCUAACCCAGAGGUACUUUUAGAGUCUUUAGUAUGAUAAGAAUAGGAUAUAUAUAAUAUCAUUUGGUAGGAUAUGAUAGAUACUUAUAUUUUAGAAUAUAUUUUUUGAGAAAUAUGAUAUUUUUGAAUAUUAUGUAUUUACUAUAUAUUAUAUUAUAUUUAUAUUAUUUAUAAAAUAAAUAAAUAAAUUAUUUUUUAAAUAAUAGAUACUUAUAUUUUAAAAUAUAUUUUUUGAGAAAUAUGAUAUUUUUAAAUAUUAUCUCUAAAUAGUGUAAAGUAUUAUAUAUAUAUAUAUAUAUAUAUAUAUAUAUAUAUAUAUAUAUAUAUUUAUAAAAUGAAUUAUUUAAUUAAUUAAAAAUUAAUUUUUAAUUAUUUAAUAUUUAUUUAAAAUAAAUAUCAUAUUGAUCCAAGUGAAGCUCAUCCCUUGAAUAGUAAUUCCAAAAGUGCUACAGUCAGCAAGAAAUUGCAUGAUAUGCUCUUGCUUUGCUUCUCCUGUAGCUUUAGCCUUUUCACAGAUCAUCUGUCUAAGGUUUUCAAGAAGGUCCAAAUUUUUCAGCUUGAAAAAUGAAAAUCUGGAAAUUUGACAUUCUUGGCUUUCUUGAGAAAGUUUUGAAUCUUCAUUUGGUUUUGAAAGUUCUUUUUGAAAUUCAUUUUGAAAAUCUUUUGAAAAUGCAUCUUUGGAUCCUUUUGCUUUUUUCCUGCAAAUGAAAUUUUCAAGAUCUGUAUCCAUUGGUGUGCAAUGUAUAUCAGAACUUGAAGGGUUAGAAAAACUUUCUAAUUUAUCAUUUAACUGUUUAAAAUGGAAAGAUAAUGCAUUUAAAGCUUCCAACUUUUGAAUAUCACUUUUUGCAUUCCAGAGGUUGUCUAAAAUGCAUUUUUGUGAUCUGUCUAAACCUUCAAUAUCUUUAUGAAUUCGAAAUGACAUAUUACAUUUAGGGAAUACUGGAAGAGUAAAUUUCCCAAAUGUAAUUCUUUCUUGCUCCAUCUGUAAACAAAAUUCAAAUAUUAGUAUCUCUAUUGAAGAAUAAAACAAAUAUCUAAUGAUUUUGUCUUUAUCAUACCAAAUUUGAAAAUAUAUUGAGUUUAUGAGAGGAACAUAAUUUCUAAUAAUGAUGUUAAAAUGAGGUUUUGAAUAUUUUGAAAUCACAUUUAUUGACUUAUAUGAGCAUGCACAAAUACCAUCACAAUCUUUUUGAUUAUCUGAUUCUUCUUCUAGACUUGACUCGUCACUUGAUAUUUCUUGAGUUAUAAGGAUUUGAUUAUCUUCUUCUGAUUCAUAAUUUUCACUUGAUUCAUCAUUUUCUUUAUCAAUCAUUAAUCCUAUCAUUAGAUUUUUGAGUUUAUCACUUAUUUCUAAUGAAUUGAUUUUAUUUUCUAAUUGACAAUCUCUUGAAUAAUGACCUACUUUUCCACAUUUAUAACAAGUAGGUGUUUUCUUUUUUAAAUCUGAGGAUUGUUUUUAUCAGUGUUAUGAGUGAUUUCAACUGAAUCGGUGUCUACCAGGAUGAACUCAUAGAAUUGACGAGUUUUCAAAGGAUCAUUUGAAUUAAAGUUGACUCCUUGAGGAAAGAUGUAAGGAAGAAUUUUAGGAAUCUCUUCAAAAUUGAACUCUGGCUCAAUGAAAGCAAUUUCUAAUGUUUUGGGUUUUUUGACAUAUUGACUAUAGGAAUAUGAAGGAGAAGGAAACUGAGAAGGAGAAGGUAAUGUUGAAAUAGUGUUGGGGCUUGAUUUACUCUGAACAACAAUAUUUUUAGGGGAUGAUUUAGAAGCUUGAAUAAAACUUUUUGAAGGUUGAAGAGGAGGAAAAUCUGGACUCAAAACUUGAAAAGAAUUUGAUGUCUGCAAAGGAAAAGUAGGACGAACAUUUGAAAAGUUUGAAAUCAUAGCAUAUGAUGCUUUGGUUUUCUUGGAUGAUGAAGGAAGUUGAGGCCUAACGGGAGUACCCAUUAGGAUGGAGAAGGAUCCUUACCCUGCAAAAACUCCCGAGUAAGGAAGUCAGGAAGGGAAUUCAACUCUCCUUUGAUAAAUUCGAUUUCAAAAUCAAAGUUUGAAAGUAAAGCUUGCCAUCUUGCAAAAAUUUGUUUUGAAACCAAAUUUUUAACAUCUUUUUGUAAAAUAUCUUUUGCAGCUUUGCAAUCGAUUUUCAAAAGAAAUUUCUUGUUUAUCAAAUCACUUUGAAAUUUUGAAAUACACAAAACUAUUGAUAAAACUUCUUUUUUGACAGUUGAAUAAUUUAUUUGAGCGCCCAACCAGAUCCCUGAAUGAUAUCUAACUAUAUGCACUUGAUUGUUAUAUUCUUGCUUUAAUAUGCCUCCAUAACCUAAAUUAGAUGCAUCUGAUUCUACAAUGAGUAAUGCAUUUGGAUGAGGAAUGCUGAUGCAUGGUAAUCUUUUGACUCUUUGUUUAAUUUCUUUAACCAGACUGGUAUGAUGCUCAUUCCAUGCAGGUGCAUUUUUUGUAAGUCUUUUGUAUAAUGGUUCACAAAUGAUUCUCAAAUCUUUGAAGUAAUCAGAAACAUAAUUUAAACAUCCUAGAAAUCUUUGCAAUUGUUUUUUAUCUUUUAUUUCAUCAGGAAAUUUGUCAGCGAAUUCUAUUGAUCUUUGAAUCGGUUUUGUUUUUCCUUGAAAAAUUUCAUGACCUAAAAAUCUGAUUUUUGUUUGAAACAAUUUCAUUUUUGGAGCAGAACAAGCCAUUCCAUUUGCUUUAAUGACAUUAAAAAACUUUUUCAAAUGAAUAAAAUGUUUUUCUAAUGAAUCAGAAAAUACUAAAACAUCGUCAAUAUAUACAAUGAUGAACUGAAAAUGAGGAUUAAAAAUAUCAUUCAUAAUAUUUUGAAAUUCAGAAGGGGCAUUUUUGAGACCAAAAGGCAUGACAUUCCAUUCAUAAUGACCAAAAGGGACAGUAAAAGCAGUUUUGUACCUAUCUUCUUCUUUAAUUUGAACUUGCCAAAAUCCUGAUUUCAUAUCAAAUUUUGAAUAAAUGACAGAACUAUGAAGUCUUUUAAGUAAAUCUUGCUUAUUAGGAAUAGGGUAUCUUAUCCAUUGUAAUACUUUAAUUAAAGGUUUAUAAUUAAUGACUAAUCUAGGUGCUCCUCUUUCUAUCUCAGCAGCAUUUUGAACAUAAAAAGCAGCACAACUCCAAGGAGAUUUUGAGGGUCUAAUUAAUUUCUUCUUUAAUAAUGAAUCAAUUUCUUGUUUGCAAUAUUUCAAAAGUUUUUCAUUCAUUUGAAUCGGCCUAGCCUUAGUAGGAAUUUUGGACUCAUCAAAAUUUUGAAUGUAAGGCAAACUUAUCUCAUGUUUCUUUCUUGACCAAAAAGCAUUAGGAAGAUCAGAACAAAUUUCAUUUUGAAAAAGAUCUUGAAUCUCUUUAAUUUUCUUUUGAACUUUAUCUUCUAAGAGUUGUUCAUCUACCUUUUUAUAUUGAAUUUCUUUUGAUAGAUAAUUUAUAUGAGCUUUCUUUCUUUGAAUUAAAUUUAUGUUCUUAUUUAUUGAAUCACUUUGAACUUGAUGUAUUUCUUUUUUAGUUAAUGGAUAUAUAAAGGGAAAAAAUAUGGUAUUUCCUAAUAUUGUAGUUUUGACACCUUCAUCAUUUACUUGAAAAGGGUAAAGUAAGGUAAUAAAAGGAGUUCCUAAUAUUAGAGGUUCAUUCAUAUUUUGUACUAAUAUAAAUUGAGUUCUAAAACAAUAAUUAUCUUGACAUAUAUGAACAUUUUGAAGUUUAUAUUUUAUUUCUAAUUUUCCUUUAUUUGCAGCAAAAAGUUCUUGUCCUGUUUUUUCAUAAUAUUUAGUAGGAAUUAUUCCUUCUUGAAUACAAUUCAUAUCAGCUCCCGAGUCUAUUAAUGCUACUAUUUCUAUUUCAAAAUCUUCAACUAUAAUUUUUAUAUUUGUAUACCAUCUUUGAAAAUAUAUUUUUGAUAUUGUAUUUAUAAAUGAUUCUAUAGGAGUUAUUUUAUUAGGUAUUAUUAUUCCUGGUUCUUGNNNNNNNNNNNNNNNNNNNNNNNNNNNNNNNNNNNNNNNNNNNNNNNNNNNUAUUUGAAAAACCAAAGGAAAAAAGGAAUAGUCAUCUUAACUUGUUGCAUAUAUUUUUCAUAUUGUUUUCUUAAUGCAUUUCUAACUUGAGGAGGAAGUUGUUGAAAAUAAUUUCUUUUUGCCGUAUUUUCAGGAGAAAAAUAAUUUGCUUUAAUUAAUUCUACUUCAGGAACAAAAUGAUUUCUUUUAAUGUAUUUUUUCUAAUGAUAUUUAUGUUUAAAGGAGGUUUAUCUUGAAAGAAAAUUUUUGACUCAGACUCUUCUUCAAAAAGAGAAAUUUCAGGAACAAAGUUUGAACUAUUUUUUAGUUGAUUUUCUAUUUGAUUUAAUUCUUCAUUAAAUUUUGAAUUAUUAAAUUUUAUAUGAUGACUCCAUGAUGAUGCAGCUACUGAUGCAGAUGAUGAUGCAGUAGAUGCAUUGAAAAUCUCAUUAUCUUAUAUGAAGAACUUUCUAAAUUAUAUGCAGAAUUAUUUAAUGCAGAUGCAGAACUUUCAUGGGACCUAAGAGAUCUGGAAGAACUAUUUCUACUUAAUUCCCUAAUAAUAUUACUCAUUGUCACAGAAAAUAAUCACAAUUUUAUCCUUAAUCAAUUCAGAUAAUUUCCUGAACAGGGACCACCACAAGCGGAUCAACACGGGACUUACGCUCCUUCUGCCCUUAAACACCGCUUAUCACAGGCUGACCAAACCGUUCACAGGAAAUUCAACCCGAACUAAGUCAGGACUAAAUCUGCGAUUAAUCACUGUUCCAACUCGUAACAUCACUCGGUUCUCAAGCAGAAAAUGGCUCUGAUACCAUUUGCACCCAGGACAUACAACAGUUCGUGCAUGCAAUAAUUAAGUAAUAAUUAAGCAAUAAUUAGCAAUAAUUAAAUCUGUCUAAUUAUCUCCAAGCAUAAAAACUGAAAUAUUUAAUGUCUAAUACUGUCUAAUUUAUUGCAGAAAUUUAAGCAUAAUAAAACAAAUAUUUGAAUCUGAAAAUAUUGUUUAUUGAAAAUAUACCUUGAUUACAGAGAGCUGAUGACUACAGGUUGUUGACAGCAGAGGAAUGACUCUAAUUCAAAAAGAAAAUUACAAAAGAAAAUUUUUGAACUCUCAGAAAUUUUUUGAAACUAUCUCUUGGCUGUUGGAACUCUCCCAACUCUUGGAACUCUUGAACCCUUGCCGACCUCUCACCCUAGCCGACCUCUGCCUGAUGAAGAAGGUUGAAGCUCCUUAUAUAGGUGAGGAUUCGGACUUUAGAUGAAUCUUCAAUCUUGAAAGUUUUGGAAUUUCAUCACAUGUAGGCCAGGUGGAGCAUUCUGCAGAAGAAAGAGUGAGGGAAGAUUUCAAAAUAUUCAAAACCUCAUUUUAACAUCAUUAUUAGAAAUUAUGUUCCUCUCAUAAACUCAAUAUAUUUUCAAAUUUGGUAUGAUAAAGACAAAAUCAUUAGAUAUUUGUUUUAUUCUUCAAUAGAGAUACUAAUAUUUGAAUUUUGUUUACAGAUGGAGCAAGAAAGAAUUACAUUUGGGAAAUUUACUCUUCCAGUAUUCCCUAAAUGUAAUAUGUCAUUUCGAAUUCAUAAAGAUAUUGAAGGUUUAGACAGAUCACAAAAAUGCAUUUUAGACAACCUCUGGAAUGCAAAAAGUGAUAUUCAAAAGUUGGAAGCUUUAAAUGCAUUAUCUUUCCAUUUUAAACAGUUAAAUGAUAAAUUAGAAAGUUUUUCUAACCCUUCAAGUUCUGAUAUACAUUGCACACCAAUGGAUACAGAUCUUGAAAAUUUCAUUUGCAGGAAAAAAGCAAAAGGAUCCAAAGAUGCAUUUUCAAAAGAUUUUCAAAAUGAAUUUCAAAAAGAACUUUCAAAACCAAAUGAAGAUUCAAAACUUUCUCAAGAAAGCCAAGAAUGUCAAAUUUCCAGAUUUUCAUUUUUCAAGCUGAAAAAUUUGGACCUUCUUGAAAACCUUAGACAGAUGAUCUGUGAAAAGGCUAAAGCUACAGGAGAAGCAAAGCAAGAGCAUAUCAUGCAAUUUCUUGCUGACUGUAGCACUUUUGGAAUUUCUAUUCAAGGGAUGAGCUUCACUUGGAUUUCUUGUUAUGACAAUACUUAUAAUAAUUGUCCAAAGACCGAUCCCUUGUGUAGAGAAAUUCCAUUAGAAAGGCAUGACUGUAAGUGUGCUCUUACUUACAGUAUAUGCAAAGCCAACAUUAACCUAGACAGUUAUAAACCAAUAGUCAGUCAAUAGAGUUAACUCCAUCCCUCCUCAUGGACUAUGGAGUUCUUUAUCAAUUGAUUUUCUCUCAUCCUGAUCAAACUGAUAAAUUUGGAAGAAAAUUAGUUGUUUGUGUUUUAAAUGCAUUCAUCAAUGAUUUCAAAUCUGUCGAACUCAUCAUAGAAAGUAAACCUCCUGAAUGGUCGAAUGAUGGAGGAGUCUACCCUGCUCAACAUCUCAUUUUACUCAAAGCCAAUCAGAGAAAACAUCAGCUGUUUGGUACAGAGGACCCUUGGCCCUGUACUAAAUCCAGUCUCAAAAAACAAAUCAGACAUUGGAGAUCAAGAAUGAUUGCAAGAGACCUUGAUUCCGAGAUUUAUAGUUCUUCUAACUAUAAUCUCAUUGCUGAAGAUAAUAUUCAAAAAAUCAUCUUUGCAAAUAACUUUUAUGAAGUCCCUCUUUUGUUUCAAACUCAAUUUACUUAUCUUGUUGAUAAGUAUAAAAGAGAAUAUGUCCUUGAAGAAGAAGCCAGAAAAACUUUUGAGAAAUAUCUCUUAGAAAUGCUCAGCUAAGAGAUAUCAAGAAUCAAGAAUCUUUUGUACAUCUGUAAAGUAGCUCUCUUAUGAUUAUCCAGUAAAAAAAAAAAAAAAAAAAAAAAAAAAAAGAACAGUAUAUGAAGUCUGAAGAAGUGCACAGUGCACAGUUUGUAAGUAAAAAAAAAAAGUGAAUAGUGUUUUGUGAAUAGUAAAUCCGUCCUUUAAAGUAAAAAGCAAGAUGACUCAUUACCCAUGUGACCAAAUGAAGAAGAAGAAAGCAAAUUUACCUCCUGCAUACACGUGGAAGACAUCAAAGGCAUAAUGCCUUCUUGAAAGCCCGAAGCCUUUGCUAUAAAUAGGGCUCAAAGGCUUCCUCCCAAGGCAGAGGUCGGCAAGGGUUCAAGAGCUUGGUAGAGAGUUCCAAGAGAGAUAGUUUCAAGAGUGAAAAAAUUUGAGAGUUCAAAAUUUCUGAGAGUUCAAAAAUAUUUUCUUGUAAUUUUCUUUUUGAGUUAGAGUCAUUCCUCUGCUGUCAACAACCUGUAGUCAUCAACUCUCUGUAUUGAGGUAUAUUUUCAAUAAACAAUAUUUUAUUCAAAUAUUUGUGUUAUUAUGCUUAAAUUUCUGCAAUAAAUUAGACAGUAUUAGACAUUAAAUAUUUCUGUUUUUAUGCUUGGAGAUAAUUAGACAGAUUUAAUUAUUGCUAAUUAUUGCUUAAUUAUUACUUAAUUAUUGCGUGCAUGAACUGUUGUAUGUCCUGGGUGCAAAUGGUAUCAGAGCCAUUUUCUGUUUGAGAACCGAGUGGUGUUACGAGUUGGAACAGUGAUUAAUCGCACAUUUAGUCCUGACUUAGUUCGGGUUGAAUUUCCUAUGAACGGUUUGGUCAGCCUGUGAUAAGCGGUGUUUAAGGGCAGAAGGAGCGUAAGUCCCGUGUUGAUCCGCUUGUGGUGGUCCCUGUUCAGGAAAUUAUCUGAAUUGAUUAAGGAUAAAAUUGUGAUUAUUUUCUGUGACAAUGAGUAAUAUUAUUAGGGAAUUAAGUAGAAAUAGUUCUUCCAGAUCUCUUAGGUCCCAUGAAAGUUCUGCAUCUGCAUUAAAUAAUUCUGCAUAUAAUUUAAAAAGUUCUUCAUAUAAGAUAAUGAGAUUUUCAAUGCAUCUACUGCAUCAUCAUCUGCAUCAGUAGCUGCAUCAUCAUGGAGUCAUCAUAUAAAAUUUAAUAAUUCAAAAUUUAAUGAAGAAUUAAAUCAAAUAGAAAAUCAACUAAAAAAUAGUUCAAACUUUGUUCCUGAAAUUUCUCUUUUUGAAGAAGAGUCUGAGUCAAAAAUUUUCUUUCAAGAUAAACCUCCUUUAAACAUAAAUAUCAUUAGAAAAAAAUACAUUAAAAGAAAUCAUUUUGUUCCUGAAGUAGAAUUAAUUAAAGCAAAUUAUUUUUCUCCUGAAAAUACGGCAAAAAGAAAUUAUUUUCAACAACUUCCUCCUCAAGUUAGAAAUGCAUUAAGAAAACAAUAUGAAAAAUAUAUGCAACAAGUUAAGAUGACUAUUCCUUUUUUCCUUUGGUUUUUCAAAUAUAGGAAACCCCUUAAAAGAAUUGCAACAUUAACUUCAAGAAAAGCAAUAGAAAAUUCUCCACAUAAUAAAAAAGAGUCAAGUAAAGAAUCAAAAGAAGAAUUAAGUGAAACAAAAUUUAAUAAAAUUUUGUUUUCUUCUGCCCCGGGUGAGGUGGAGGAAACAGAAACAAAAACAAAAACAUCAACAGAAACAUCAAAACCAACAAAGAUAGAAAAUCCAAAAGAAAUCAAAAAGAUAAAUGUAAUAUCGUCAAAAGUAGAUAAGCAAAUAUUUUUUGAUGUUGUAGACAAAAUUCAAGAUAAAGAAAUACAAAGAAAUUAUUUACAAAAUUUAAAAAAUUUAAUUCUCACUGAAAAUCCAAAUAAAACUCAAGACAUCAAACCUAAUCAAUACUCAAUGGAUGAAAUUUAUAAUAGAUUCAAAAAGACUCAAAGGCCAAUAACUAUUAAAGACUUGGAAGAAGAAAUAAAAGAAAUAAAAAGUCAAAUAAAUCAAUUAAAAUUAGAUAAUGAACAAAUAAAAUUAGAAAAUGAAAUAAUAAAACAAGAAAAUGAUCAAAUAAAACAAGAGAAUGAACAAAUUAGAAACGUAAUACAAUAUAAACAAGAUUUAGCCGAAACUUCUGAAAACCAAGAACCAGGAAUAAUAAUACCUAAUAAAAUAACUCCUAUAGAAUCAUUUAUAAAUACAAUAUCAAAAAUAUAUUUUCAAAGAUGGUAUACAAAUAUAAAAAUUAUAGUUGAAGAUUUUGAAAUAGAAAUAGUAGCAUUAAUAGACUCAGGAGCUGAUAUGAAUUGUAUUCAAGAAGGAAUAAUUCCUACUAAAUAUUAUGAAAAAACAGGACAAGAACUUUUUGCUGCAAAUAAAGGAAAAUUAGAAAUAAAAUAUAAACUUCAAAAUGUUCAUAUAUGUCAAGAUAAUUAUUGUUUUAGAACUCAAUUUAUAUUAGUACAAAAUAUGAAUGAACCUCUAAUAUUAGGAACUCCUUUUAUUACCUUACUUUACCCUUUUCAAGUAAAUGAUGAAGGUGUCAAAACUACAAUAUUAGGAAAUACCAUAUUUUUUCCCUUUAUAUAUCCAUUAACUAAAAAAGAAAUACAUCAAGUUCAAAGUGAUUCAAUAAAUAAGAACAUAAAUUUAAUUCAAAGAAAGAAAGCUCAUAUAAAUUAUCUAUCAAAAGAAAUUCAAUAUAAAACUUGUUCUACAAUUUAUAAUUUAAUAGUAAAUUUUAAUUUUAUAAUUAAACUAUUUAAGAAUAAUAAAUAAAAAUAUUAUAUCAUACAAUUAAAUAUACUAAGCAAUUUGUAUUUUACUAUAUAUUUUAUACUUAUUUUUCAGUCAAAUAAAUAAUACUGAAAUUAUUGUUAAUGGCAUUAAAUACAAAUUUAAUGGGAAACAGGAUCUCAUGCUUGUUAGGUUAUCCAUGGGGAAUAAAACAGCCUAAGGUCGAUCCUAAAAAUCCUAAACUUAGAACUUAGUUUAGGGAGAAUUUUGUUUUGAGCCUAGUUGGGCCAAAAAAAUUGACUAAAGAUCCAUAUAUCAUGCACAUUUAAACCCAAGACACCAAAUAAAGUGUAAAAAUUAAGUUUAUGGAUAUUAUCCUUCAUUAAUCUUUAAAAUAGCUUUAACCCCUAUAUAGACACAUAGUGAGUGUAAAUUUCAAAUUUUUUUUUUUUUUUGUGUUGUUUUCCCUUUUCUAUUCCCAAUUAAAUAUUACUCAUUUCUAACUUUUUUAUUUUUCUUUUUUAAAGAUAUUGAAUCUUUUUACUCUUAUUAUAAGUAAGAAUAAAAAAAUUUCAUAUAAAAUUUAAUGGAUAAUCAAUGAAUGAAAUUUAAUUCUUUUUAUUAUUUUUAUAUAAAAAUAGUAUUAAACAAGGUUUUCAAUUUUUAUUUUUAAAAAUAGUUUUCAUUUUUUAAUUAAAUGUUUUUUCAAAAAGAAAAUAUAAAAAAUAUAAAUCAUAUUACCAUUUUUUUAGAAAGUAUUUUUAAAAAUAGUUUUUGAAAGUAAUUUUUCUUUAUUUAUAAUUUAAAAUAGAAAAUAAAGCUAAUUUUCAAUUAUUUAUAAAAAAAAAGUUUUAAAAAACAAUGAAAAAUCCAAAUGGUUAAAAUAGAAUUAUUAUGGUUGAAUGAAUAGUGGUGCAAUAAAAACCAAAAAAUCUUAUGUGAAAGGUCAAUGAGUAUUUUGAUCUUUUGAUAUCAUAUAUCAUUUCUAUCAAUUAUGUAAGUUAUAUGAACCAAAUCUUAAUUUUUGGACAUAGUUGGACCUAAAACACAAUUGUCCCCUUAGUUAAUGUGCAUAGACCUGUUAUUGUCUCAAGGUGGGUAGAAGAAUUGGUGACAUUAUUUGGAAGAAUGAUCAAUAAAGACGAAGAUGACUUUGUUUUCUUUGGUUGACUUUGAAACAUUGGAGUAGAAUUUGUGUCUUUCUUAGAAUGAGAGAUGACAUGGUUAAAAUAACAGUACAUAGUUAGCAAGAUCAAGGAAACAAAGUUUAAGUUGGUGACUCCAUGGUUUCAGUUGAUGUGUGGCAAAUAAUGGGUCAAUUGUCCAUUUGUAAACAUAUGAGUUCACCAAACCUUGGACUUGGAAACUCUCCAACUAUCUCAUUACUGGAAGGAAGACGACGACUAGAGUUCUCUAUAUGUAGCUUUGUUAAGUUUGAUUCAUUCUUAUGGUCAAAGUCUAUGUCGCUUUACCUCAUUGGAAAAAAAAGAAAAAAAAAACAAAUCCUUGAAGAAUUGUUUGUCUAGAAUGAUUUGAACGUUUGUUGAGUGGUCUUGUCAUUGGAAGAUUAUUAGGGAAUGAAAAUGACUACCGUUUUUAUUUUUAUUUUUUAUUUUCAUUUUUAUAUAUAGCCUUCUUGAGUUUGAUUCACUCUUAAGGUCAAGGUCUUUCAAUUGAUUGUGUCUUGUGUGAUUUGAAUGCAUGUUAACUCUAGUGGUUGGGUGACAACUCCGAUCGCCUAUUCUUUAUUUCAUUUGGAAAAAAAUUGCAUUCAACAGUUUGAAUGCCUGUUGAGUCAAGUGGUUGCCUAGCAACUUGUACAGUGUAUAUUAUUUUACAUUCUAUCAACUCUAGGUUUUUUAAGACAACCAUCCAUCCAUUCUAGGUUCAAACUUCAAAGAAGCCUUUACAGCUUUAAGACAAUCACCCGAGAAUAUGAAACCAAAUAGAUAAAUACCUUUCAUGAUUAUGGACCAAAGCUACAUUAGGGUUAGGGAUUGACUUUAUACCAUUUAUAACAAUCCGUUUCUAAUAGUGUGUAUAUUAUUCGUUCUGGACCCAAAAAGAUCCUUACGGUUUUGAAAUGCGUUCAUAUAAUUAAGAGGAACUCAUAUUUAUUCAACGUUGAAACUUUCUUUGUUCUCAUAUGUGAGAUAUCUCAAUUGUUACGAGACAGGGACAAACAUGGUUUUGAGGGUUAGUCUUGUAAUCAUCUUUAUGUUACAGAUCCUAUAUUCCUAUUUACAUUUAAUUUUUUGUAGACCUGAUCCAUGAGAACGGAGACUUGGAGAAGUCUUCCACUCCCUUUGAAAGGGCUAUUAUUAGGUAAAACAAUGGUAAGACUUUUUGUCUGUGAAGACUUGACUUGGGCUUGUUCCAGACUGGUGAAGGCACUUUCCCCUACUUCACUUUGGAAAAAAUGCACUUUUGGGUUUUGAGUUGACUGCAUUGACUUGAUACAAGUUUACAAUAAUGGCCGAGCUGAUCAAACUUACAAUUAUUAUGCAGUUUUGUUGUUGCCAAAACUUGUUACAUAUACUGGGGAUGAAGAUAACUUGUAAUCCUUUUGUUUUAUGAUAUCAGAAGUUUUUGUUUAGGCCCUUGAUAUCCAUCUUAGGCUUAAUUUUGGUGCUAUGUAUUCUUGAAAACGAAGCUGAUUGUGACUACCAUAUAUUUAGUGGAUGGCCUUGUUUUUGUUGCAUGUAUCAGUUUUGGUGAAAAUUUUGGACUCUCACUUGUAGAAUUAGAAAGGAAGCUUCGGGGAUUUGACAUUUCUUUUCUCUGGUUUGAUCAAUCCAUUUGAGCUCACCAAAUUUGACCCUUUUUAAUGGGUCACACCUCAGCUCUUCAUAAGUUUAUGGUAGGCCAAGAUUUGCCUUGGUUCCCUUUACUUUCGAGUAUAUAUGUAGCCUUUUUUUUUUUAGUAUGAAAAUCACAAUAGCUUCAUAAUAAAGCUAACUAGGGUAAAGUUUUUACCUUAAAAUAAAUAAAAAAUUGUUCUCAUUAGCAGUUUUUUGCAGGACAAGAAAAAUAUCGAAGAAAACAGGUGUUAUACGAGAAAACGGAAACUUGAACAUGAAUAAACCAUUAAUCUCAUUGUUUAACAAUGCUAUAUUUAGAACAUCAAAUCUUUGAUGUUCAAGCCUUCAAUCCUCUUAUCCUUGCACAUUGUCAGCCGGUACCCGAGGUGCAAUUUUCUAUUCACCCACAAAAAGUCUUUUUGAUAUUUUUACAACUUUAUCAAUUACUCGAACGAAAUUUAGUUAUGGAAAAGAACUGGGACUUUUGAAGAUGCAUUACAUUGUGUUGAAGAUGCAGGAGGUUCGAAACCAUGCAUUAUUGGUAGACUAGGUAGAGUUCCACUCAAAUUAUUUCUUACCUUGCUAAAUUCUCUGUGACAACAUCUGAGAAAUAAUCUCCAUGGUUGGCCUGGAUUGUGGAUUGGCAUUUAAACAUGCAGUUGCGAGCUUUAUGAUAGCUACCACUUCCCCUUCGUCUUGGGGUGUGAGAGGUGGGAGUCGCGGGUCCAACAUGUCUUUCAACACUAUGUUCUUCUCUGGGGAAACUGAUAUAGACAAGAUUUGAUCUCCAGGAUGUCUUCCUUUGAUAACUUCCAGUGCUAUCACUCCAAAGCUAUAGACAUCGGUUUUUUCUGUGACCUUCAUUGUAUAAGCAUGCUCUGCAAAAUUAGAAGAUAAAUAUUACAUCGUGAGCAUGUUAGAUUUCUUUGUUAGUUGAGGAGUGAAGUGUACCUGGUGCAACGUAUCCGACUGUGCCUGCAAGUUUGCUCUGAUUUGAUGAGUCUACCUUAAGAAGCUUGGCAGUGCCCAAGUUAGAAAUAUGAGCCUCAUAUUGAGAAUCCAGCAGAAUAUUGUUGCUCGAUAUAUCCCGAUGAACAAUCGGGGGUGAGCAAUCAUGGUGCAUGUAAGACAAAGCGUGAGCCACUCCUUUGAUGAUCUUGACCCUUGUAGCCCAACCCAAUUUUUUAGCUUCUUCUCUGCUCAAGAUUGUAGCCAAGCUACCUCUUUCAAGGUACUCAUAGACCAAAAAGGAGUGUCGUGGAUAUGAACAGAAACCAAGAAGUCUCACAAUGUUUCGAUGCUUGAUCUCUGUCAUUGCCCUUACUUUAUUCAAGAAAUCCUUUUGAUUUGCCAUAUCCAUGUCGGAUGGGUGAAGCUUCUUCACAGCUACUAUAUUACCUGAUGGCAGCUCUGCUUUGUAAACGCUUCCAUGCCCUCCCUUUCCGAUGCAAUACAUGGGAUCAAAGUCCUUGGUGGCCUUUAUAAUCUCUUCAUACAUUGCUCUUCCAUCAAAAGUUGAUAUUGAGAGGAGAUUAUUCUGUACAUCACCUUCUUCGAUUUCUGGAGUUCUCUCUCUUCUUUCAGCAAUCAAGAAAAUCCCAAUGAAAGCAGAAAGAAGUACAAGUGCUCCCAAAAGAGGGAAUAUGAUAAUAAACACAACUUUGUGGCUCUUUUUGACAGGUUGUUGGUCUACUCCAAAACCAUAUUUGCAAGGUUGCAACCCUUUAACAUUGCCGCACAAAUCUUUGUUCCCCUUUAGCACCUCAAUGGUAGCAUUUCGAAAUGCAUUGCUGUGAGGAAUGGGACCCUGCAACUGAUUGUAGGAAAUGUCAACAUACGACAAGGCAGGCAUGUCCUCAAAAGCCUUUGGGAUGAAACCACAAAGGUUGUUAUGGGAGAGAUCAAGCAUCUCCAAACUCUCCAAACCUUGGAUCUGUGCCGGGAUGCCACCUGUAAGCAAGUUGUGACUCAGAUCUAGCUGGGAGAGGUGACUCAGCUUACCCAUCUGAACCGGAAUUCCGUGGCUGAGUUUGUUAUUGCUCAGGUUCAAGUAAUGCAAGUCCAAGCAGUCGCCCAAGUGCUCUGGUAUUGACCCAUUCAAUCUAUUGGCUGAAAGGUCUAGAUACUCAAGGUGGGACAGCGAUCCAAGUUCAGGAGGAAUACUCCCGGAAAGUUGGUUGUCAUUCAAUAUCAGCCCCAACAGAGAAGUCAAACUUCCCAUUUUCUUUGGAAUUUCCCCAACCAAAUGAUUUGAAGAAAGAUCAAGCAAGAUUAGAUUAGUUGAGAUUCCAAAAUCUUCUGGUAUGCUCCCUGUAAUAUUGUUCCCGGCAAUCUCCAGCCUUUGUAGUUGUGGGCAUCUUCCCCAGUUAUGAGAGAGUUCACCAUGAAACCUGUUGUAGCUCAAAUCGAUGAAUUCCAGGUUUGGACAGUCACCAACUACCUCAGAUACAUUUCCAGUGAGUCGGUUUCCCUGGAACAGAGCUCUGGUUAAGUUUCUGCAAUUUUUCAAGCUUUUGGGGAUGGGACCACUGAGAUGGUUGUCACUCACUGUAAAGCGCUCCAGAGAUCCACCUUGGCAAAUGCCUUCCGGUAAAGAGCCAAACAGCUGGUUUGUGUCGAUUUCUAGCACAACCAACUUAUGAAGUUUCCCAAUUUCUUGAGGAAAGUAACCAGAAAGACGGUUAUCACGGAGGAAUAAAAUUUCUAAGUUGGUUAGAUUACCCAGUGAAGUAGGAAUGGAACCAUUGAGUUGAUUUUCUGAAAGUUCUAGAUCAACAAGAGACUUCAAGUUACCUAUUUCUUGAGGAAUGGGACCGGAAAGUUGAUUGGCAUAGAGAUGCAGGAGGGUUAGGCCACUCAGAUCACAUAAUGACACAGGGAUUGGGCCUGAAAGAUUGUUUCCGUAGAGGCUUAGACCUUGCAGGGAUUUCAAAUUUCCUAUUUCUGGUGGGAUAGGCCCAGAGAGGCUAUUGUUGAACAAGUACAACACGGUUAAAUGUUUCAAAUUUCCAAAAGUGGAAGGGAUGGGACCUGUGAGAUUGUUGGUAUCCGAGUAUAGCUGAACAAGGUUGGUGAGAUUUCCCAUUUCUGGAGGAAUGGAACCCGAAAGUUGAUUUUCAUAGAGAUACAAAGAGGCCAAGUUGCUCAAAUUACCCAAAGAAGCAGGAAUAGAACCCUCCAGUUGGUUGGUGUACAAAGCAAGCUCAUAAAGAGACGUCAACUGACCUAUUUCAUGAGGAAUUGAACCAUUCAACUGAUUUUGAACCAGGUGUAAGACCUCAAGAUUAGUUAAUAGGCCGAUCUCGGGCGGAAUCCCUCCUGAGAACUGGUUGAUAGAGAGAUCAAGGUAUUUGAGCUUGGAGAGGAGACCGAUUUGGGGUGGGAUAGGACCAGAGAGGUUGUUCAUGCUGAUAUCAACAUACGCAAGAUUGGGAAAAGAUGAGAAUGAGAAGGCUUGGAGCGUACCUCCUAAACCCGACUCUGUGAGGUUUAUUCUGAUGACGCUCCCUGCAUGGUUGCAGGAUAUUCCGUACCAUUUGCAUGGACUGACUUCUGUUCCAAGGUGGGUAGAAGAAUUGGUGAAGUUGUUAGGAUAAAGAGUCCACGAAAGGAGGGAAGAAUGGUUAUGGUUGUGAAGGGUAGCUUUCCAUUUGAGGAGAGCUUGUGUUUCUUCAUUAGAAUAAGAAGAAACAUGGUCUGAAGAAAUCAACAUAACCAAGAGGAGCAAGGAAACAAGGGAGAGCAUUUUCUGUAAGGUUGAGGGUGCCAUGGUUUUGGUUGAUGAAUUGCAUAUGCUGCUUCACAACUUCAUUUAUACACAUUUGGUUCCUUUGUUCGUCCCACUCGGAAACUUCCUUGUUCACACUUCACACCAAUUAAAAUUCAGCCCUUUAAUGUCAAGAUUGAGGUCUUUUAAAGCAUGGCUCCCUUUUUCUUUCUUUUUGCCUGGGGUUCCCUUUCUACUAGCAUGGUGGUCUUCCUAUAUCUUUGUGGUCGUCGAAGUCUUCUCCGGUCUCUUUCAAAAUGAAUAAUGACGAUGAAGGUUGGUUGGAGACUAACGCUCUCUUUGACAAUUAUUUUGGACAACAGAGCAGGUUUAGUAAUAAAAAAAUUAUUUUUUAUUUUUUAUUCUUAAACACAGAAAAUGAUAUGUUUUUUAGGGACUUUUUUUUUAAUUAUCAUCAAUUAUUUUGAUUUGUUUUUUAAAAAUUAUUUUAAAAAAUAACUAUAAAAAAUGGAGAAUAAUUAAAAAAAAUGGACAAAAAUUUUAUUUUUAAAAAUAUUUAAAAACAUUAAAUAUGUGAUAAAAAUAUUUAAGAUUUCUAAAUACAUUUUUAUUUUACCAUUCAUCAAAGAACUGCCGUUAAAAACUGUUAUAAAAAAAUAGUUGUUAAAGAUAACUUAAUUUUAUUUGAAUCUUUGUUUUUAUCUUUACGAUGAUCUUCUUCUUUUACUCUUUGUAAAAGAAAACCGAACUUGAAAAUUUGUUUCAGUUAAGUAAUUAUAAAAGAAAAUUUUAGUCUACUUAAUAACUAAGUUGAUUUAUUAAAACUUAAUAAUUAAUAUUUACCCUAGGCUUGGUUUUUAGAAAAUUUUAAAUGAAUUGAAUAUGAAAAAAAAAUGAAGUUUUAAAAAGAAAAAAACAAAAUUUAAGUUAAUAAAUUAUUUUUAUAUGUUUUUAAAUUUUAUUUGAAUGAUUUAUUUUUAUAUAAAGAAUAAAUAAUUUAAAAAUGCUUAAAUUUUUAAAUGAUUUUAAUUAUAUUUAAUUUAUUUAUUUUUAUGUAUUUUACAUUUUAAUAUUUAUUAUAAUAUGAAAUAUCAUAUGUUUAUUAUUAUUUGAAAUUGCUUUACAAUUUAUAAUUUAAUAGGAAAUUUUAAUUUAUUUAUUGAUAGUAUUCAUAAUUAAACUAUUUAAAACUUAUAAAUAAAAAAUAGUAUAUUAUAUAAUUAAAACAAUUUGUAUAGAUUAAAAUACUGUAGUAAUGAUAUAUAUUAGUAUUUUACUGUGUAUUUUAUACUUAUUUUUCAGUUAAUUUAAUUUUAAUUUUAAUUUUUAAUUUUUAAUUUUAAUUAAAACAAUUUAACUUUAAUUUUUUAAUUAUUAUUUUUUUAACUUUUAAGUAAUAUAAAAAAAAUUAAAGAAAAAUAAAAGGAAAUGGAUAAGAAAAGUAAAUCCGUGAUUCGGCCCAUUCCAGUCCACAGUUACCGCCGACGACACCGACGUCAGUCAACCGGCAACCGCGACGCCGCCUCAGCAGCGCAGUCACUGCCGCCAUCUCCGGAAACUCCACAGCACCACUCCUUUCCACCCAGAUGCCACGCGCCGUCGCUCACGGCAUCUCCGCCCGUGGCCUUGCCAUUCAAGGCGCCGCUCCGUCGCCGACUCCUUCCACACCCACCCCAUUCACUAACGCCAAGACCACCAUGGUCUCGGCCACUGCCUCUGGUAGCCAACAUGGCUGCCAUCUUCAUCCUCCAUCUCACCUCUCCGCCGUACCCCACUACCAAUCUCCUUCGGCCUCCAUGAUCCCCAUCUCCGCCGCUGAACCCAUCACCCUACCGGCGCCAACAUCUUUUCUUCUUUAUUUAUUUAUUUAUUUAUUCCAGUGCUGCUCAUAUAUUUUGAUAUGUAAAUAUUUAAUUUGUUAAUUAGAAAAUACAUGAGUAGCAGUCUUGGUAGAUGAAUGGAUGAAUUUUCUGCAUGAGUAGCAGAGAUUUAUCUACUUCUAUUCACACAAAACCACACUUUAUUUCUUUGGGCACAAAGCCACAAUUUCUAUGAGUACAAAUCACACCGGGUACUUGAUGUAGAAAGAAAGACUAAACAAACUCAAAAGGCAUUACAUAGUGCUGAAGAUGCAGGAGGUUCGAAACCAUGUGUUACGGUAGACUAGGUAGAGUUCCCCACAAACUAAAUCUUACCUUACUACUUUCUCUGUGAUAACAUCUGAGAAACAGUCUGCAUGGUUGGCCUGGAUUGCGGGUUGGCUUUUAAGCAUUCAAUUGCUUGCUUUAGGAUAGCUAUCACUUCCCCCUCAUCCUGGGGUGUGAGAGGUGGGAGUCGGGGGUCCAACAUGUCUUCCAACGCUAUGUUAUCCUUCUCUGGGGAAACUGAUAGAGACAAGAUCUGAUCUCCAGGAUGUCUUCCUUUGAUAACUUCCAGUGCUAUUACUCCAAAGCUAAAGACAUCAGUUUUUUCGGUCACCUUCAUUGUAUAAGCAAGCUCUGCAAAAUUAAAAGAUAAAUAUUAUAUCGUGGACAUGUUUCAUACCUUGUUUAAUUCAAGAGUGAACCGUACCUGGUGCAAGAUAUCCGAAUGUGCCUGCAAGUAUGCUCUGAUUCGAUGAGUCUAGCUUUAGAAGCUUGGCAGUGCCGAAGUCAGAAAUAUGAGCUUCAUACUGAGAAUCCAGCAGAAUAUUGUUGCUUGAUACAUCCCGAUGAACAAUAGGGGGUGAGCAAUCAUGGUGCAUGUAAGCCAAAGCAUGAGCCACUCCUUUAAUGAUAUUGACCCUUGUAGCCCAACCCAAUUUCUUAGCUUCUUCUCUGCUCAAGAUUGUAGCCAGGCUACCUCUUUCAAGGUACUCGUAGACCAAAAACUUGUGUCGUGGAUGUGAACAGAAACCAAGAAGUUUCACUAUGUUUCGAUGCUUGAUUUCUGUUAGUGCCCUUAUUUCAUUUAAGAAAUCCUUUUGAUUUGCCAUCUCUGUGUCGGAUGGGUGAAGCUUCUUCACAGCUACUAUAUUACUUGAUGGCAGCUCUGCUUUGUAAACACUUCCAUGGCCUCCCUUUCCUAUGCAAUACAUGGGAUCAAAAUCCUUGGUGGCCUUUAUAAUCUCUUCAUACAUUGUUCUUCCAUCAAAAUUUGAUAUUGAAAAGAGAUCAUUCUGUACGUCACCUUCUUCGAUUUCUGGAGUUCUCUCUCUUCUUUCAGCAAUCAAGAAAAUCCCAAUGAAAGCAAAAAGAAGUACAAGUGCUCCCAAAAGAGGGAAUAUGAUAAUAAACACAACUUUGUGGCUCUUUUUGACAGGUUGUUGGUCUACUCCAAAACCAUAUUUGCAAGGUUGCAACCCUUUAACAUUGCCGCACAAAUCUUUGUUCCCCUUUAGCACCUCAAUGGUAGCAUUUCGAAAUGCAUUGCUGUGAGGAAUGGGACCCUGCAACUGAUUGUAGGAUAUGUCAACAUACGACAAGGCAGGCAUGUCCUCAAAAGCCUUUGGGAUGAAACCACAAAGGUUGUUAUGGGAGAGAUCAAGCAUCUCCAAGCUUUGCAAACCUUGGAUCUGUGGCGGGAUGCCACCUGCAAGCAAGUUGUGACUCAGAUCUAGCUGGGAGAGGUGACUCAGCUUACCCAUCUGAACCGGAAUUCCGUGGCUGAGUUUGUUAUUGCUCAGGUUCAAGUAAUGCAAGUCCAAGCAGUCGCCCAAGUGCUCUGGUAUUGACCCAUUCAAUCUAUUGGCUGAAAGGUCUAGAUACUCAAGGUGGGACAGCGAUCCAAGUUCAGGAGGAAUACUCCCGGAAAGUUGGUUGUCAUUCAAUAUGAGCCCCAACAGAGAAGUUAAACUUCCCAUUUUCUUUGGAAUUUCCCCAACCAAAUGAUUUGAAGAAAGAUCAAGCAAGGUUAGAUUAGUUGAGAUUCCAAAAUCUUCUGGUAUGCUCCCUGUAAUAUUGUUCCCGGCAAUCUCCAGCCUUUGUAGUUGUGGGCAUCUUCCCCAGUUAUGAGAGAGUUCACCAUGAAACCUGUUGUAGCUCAAAUCGAUGAAUUCCAGGUUUGGACAGUCACCAACUACCUCAGAUAUAUUUCCAGUGAGUCGGUUUCCCUGGAACAGAGCUCUGGUUAAGUUUCUGCAAUUUUUCAAGCUUUUGGGGAUGGGACCACUGAGAUGGUUGUCACUCACUGCAAAGCGCACCAGAGAUCCAGCUUGGCAAAUGCCUUCCGGUAAAGAGCCAAACAGCUGGUUUGUGUCGAUUUCUAGCACAACCAACUUAUGAAGUUUCCCAAUUUCUUGAGGAAUGUAACCAGAAAGUUGAUUAUCACGGAGGAAUAAAAUUUCUAAAUUGGUUAGAUUACCCAGUGAAGUAGGAAUGGAACCAUUGAGUUGAUUUUCAGAAAGUUCUAGAUCAACAAGAGACUUCAAGUUUCCUAUUUCUUGAGGAAUGGGACCGGAAAGUUGAUUGGCAUAGAGAUGCAGGAGGGUUAGGCCACUCAGAUCACAUAAUGACACAGGGAUUGGACCAGAAAGAUUGUUUUCGUAGAGGCUUAGCUCUUGCAGGGAUUUCAAAUUUCCUAUUUCUGGUGGGAUAGGCCCAGAGAGGCUAUUGUUGAACAAGUACAACACGGUUAAACGUUUCAAAUUUCCAAAAGUGGAAGGGAUGGGACCUGUGAGAUUGUUGUUAUUCGAGUAUAUCUCAACAAGGUUGGUGAGAUUUCCCAUUUCUGGAGGAAUGGAACCCGAAAGUUGAUUUUCAUAGAGAUACAAAGAGGCCAAGUUGCUCAAAUUACCCAAAGAAGCAGGAAUAGAACCCUCCAGUUGGUUGGUGUACAAAGCAAGCUCAUAAAGAGAUGCCAACUGACCUAUUUCAUGAGGAAUUGAACCAUUGAGCUGAUUUUGAACCAGGUGCAGGACCUCAAGAUUAGUUAAUAGGCCAAUUUCUGACGGAAUCCCUCCUGAGAACUGGUUGAUGGACAGAUCAAGGUAUUUGAGCUCGAAGAGGAGACCGAUUUGGGGUGGGAUAGGACCAGAGAGGUUGUUCAUGCUGAUAUCAACAUAUGCAAGAUUAGGAAAAGAUGAGAAUGAGAAGUCCAUGAGCGUACCAUUUAAACCCGACUCUGUGAGGUUUAUUUUGAUGACACUUCCCGCAUGGUUGCAGGAUAUCCCAUACCAUUUGCAUGGACUGGUUGCCGUUCCAAGGUGGGUAGAAGAAUUGGUGGAGUUGUUAGGAUAAAGAUCCCACGAAAGGAGGGAAGAAUGGUUGUGGUUUUGAAGGCUAGCUUUCCAUUUGAGAAGAGCUUGUGUUUCUUCAUUAGAAUAAGAAGAAACAUGGUCUGAAGAAAUCAACAUAACCAAGAGGAGCAAGGAAACAAGGGAGAGCAUUUUCUGUAAGGUUGAGGAUGCCAUGGUUAUGGUUGAUGUAUUGCAUGUACUGCUUCACAACUCUAUUUAUACACCUUUGGUUCCUUAGUUCCCACCCUUUCUGAAAGUAAUUCACAAGUCUUUGUAGUCAGAAACUGUCUUGUUCAUACCCAUUCAAACGGCUUUUUAGGUUAAGAUUAAGGUCUUUGCAUGUCUCAUUCCUGCCUAUUUCAUGGGUACACUUUCUACUAAUAUGUUGGUCUUCCUAUAUCUUUAUGGUCAUCGGAGUCUUCUCCUCCUUUCCAAAAGAAAAGUGAACUUGAAGGCUGGUUGGAAUUAAAUGAUUUGUUAAUUAAAUUAAGUUAAUUAAAUGGACUCAUCACGUUGAUUUACUUACCAUACAGCCUUUGAAAGAUGAAUAAAGAUCUAACUAACGUGGAUGUGCCACUUCAUGCAGAAAAAAAUCGAUACAAUGCUAGACGUGUCAAUUCUCCCACUGCUUCUGCUUUGGAAGACUUGGAGUAGUGUCUCUUUCGCUUUCGCACUCACCAUGGCGGCUUCUAGGAAGACUUGAUUAGAGUGUUUCACACUUCAUAGGUCUCCCCACUUUGAAAAUAAAAAAUUCAAAAUAAAAGACCAGGGUUUCCAGGAAACACAACAGAUUUUGAAAUGGUUGUUGCCACUUAAUUUAACUUUUCUGCAGUUUAAUGGUAAUUUUGGUGGACCAUCCGAGUAAAAGAGUUGUUCAUGUUGGUUAUUGUAAGUUUAUUAUUGGCAGGAAACACAGGGGAUUUAUGAUGAUUUUUUUUUUAUGUAUGGUGGAAGAUUUUUGUUGAGUUUGAGACAAAGAUCUUAAAGUUGAUAAUGUUGGCGUGAGCUGUUCUCUGAACCAUUAAAGGAGAAAAAUCAAUCACUGCAAUCAGUCACUGCAAUCCCUCAGCAAUUGUAGCCGUAAUCCAUGUAGUCCAUGUAUAGCCUUUUCUUUUAUCUAUAUAUACACUUGUACUCUAAUGAAUUGAUAUAGAAUAAAAAAAUAUCUCGGACCAACAUGGUAUCAGAGCAGAAUUCGAUCCUCUACCCUCUGUUCAACCAAAUUUCUUAAAAACAGAGCCCAAACUCUUUUCACACGGCAGAUACAGAUCCUCACUCGGGUGAGCACUCGGGUGAAUCUUCAAUCUCGCCAUCUGUACUGUCUGAACUAACGGCAAGGAUGACAAAAGCUUUGAGUAAAGCUCCGACGUCCAUUCCAGCCACCGACUCAGCAAUUGCCCCGAUUGGCAUCAAACUGGAUGGCACAAAUUACGCCAUCUGGUCACAAGUCGUAGAGAUGUAUGUCGCGGGCAAGGAUAAACUCGGCUACAUCAACGGCGACCUUCCUCAACCAUUAACAACCGACCCUUUCUUCCGUAGGUGGCGGACUGAGAAUGCAACUGUGAAAGGAUGGCUGAUUGGUUCGAUGGAUCCAUCCCUUAUUGGCAACUUCAUUCGGUUUCCAACGGCAAAGCAAGUUUGGGAUGCAAUUGCAACCACUUACUUUGAUGGAAGUGAUGCAACCCAAGUUUAUGAACUCCGACGACGAGUGGCGCGACUCAGGCAGGGUAGUGGCUCUCUAGAAAAAUACUACAAUGAUCUCCAAGGUCUAUGGCGGGAGAUUGAUUUCCGUCGUCCCAAUCCAAUGCAAUGUCCAGCAGAUAUCCAACAUUUUAACAAUAUGCUGUAGGAGGAUCGGGUAUAUACGUUUCUUGAUGGUUUGGAUGAUAAACUUGAUAAUAUUAGAAGUGAUGUGUUGCAGCUUAAGCCAUUUCCCACAGUGGAACAGGCAUAUGCCCAUGUUCGUAGAGAAGCUGUGCGUCAGGCGGUGAUGACAGCCAGUAAUGGAGAAGAGGCGGCUGGAGCAGUGAUGGCUUCACGAAGCCUCAAACAAGGGCCCUCCAUUGCAGCCAACUCUCUGUCAUUGAAUGGAAAAUUUUCUAAGUCAAAUGGCCCAUCCAAUGACAUGAAAUGCUCUCAUUGUGGAAAUUCGAAGCAUACUCGAGACACAUGCUUCAAACUACAUGGCUACCCAGAUUGGUGGCAUGAAUUACAAGCCAAAAGGCGACGAGAUAGGAAUGGGAAAGAUGGUGGAGCUAGCAAAAAUGCAGCUAAUGGCACGGGCAAUGCCGCGAUAGCCUCGGCUGAGUCCCAAUUGUCACUUAUUCUGACAACAACAAUUGAUUUGGAUACAGGUAUGAGUUUUCUCGGGACCAAUACCACUAAAUCAUAUGAUGGUUGGAUUCUUGAUUCAGGGGCGACAGACCACAUGACGUAUGAUGCAAGUGAUUUUUCUGAACGAUCCUCUCCUCGACGUACUAGCAUUGCUAAUGCUAAUGGAGACAUCUCUUUGGUAAAAGGGGCUGGUACAGUGAUGAUAUCACCAGCUCUCUCCUUAACCAAUACCCUUUUUGUACCCUCAUUGUCUCAUAAAUUAUUGUCCGUGAGCCAAGUCACGAAGGAGUUAAAUUGUAUUGUUCUAAUUUAUCCAACCUUUUGUCUUCUUCAGGAUAUUCUCACCAAGGAGAUAAUUGGGCGUGGUACUAAAAAGGGGGGGCUCUACUAUAUGGAAGAUUUUAGCAUCGGUCAAGCUAACCAUACAAGAAGCUCUAGUGAUCGAAAUAAGGCGAACAUUUUGUUGUGGCAUCGUCGGUUAGGACAUCCUUCAUUUGGAUAUUUGAAACUUGUAUUUCCUACUUUAUUUUCAGGUUUGUCGAAUUUGGAUUUUAAAUGCGAGACAUGCAUCUUAGAUAAAAGUCAUCGUGUUAGUUAUCCUUUGAGUUUUAAUAAGAGUCAGAUGCCUUUUGAAUUGAUUCACUCUGAUGUGUGGGGUCCAUCUCCCAAAUCCACCAUAUCUGGGGUUCGAUGGUUUGUGAUUUUUGUGGAUGAUUGCACUCGUAUGACCUGGUUGUAUCUAAUGAAGAAUAAGGAUGAAGUUUUCUCUGUUUUUUGCUCCUUUCAUGAGAUGGUUAAAACUCAGUAUUCUACUACAAUUCGCAUACUUCGAUCCGACAAUGGUGGAGAGUAUAUGCAUCGUGACUUCAAAAAUUAUUUCAGUCACCAUGGCUUGAUUCAUGAAACUACCUGUCCUCAAACACCACAACAAAACGGAAUUGCCGAAAGGAAAAAUCGGCAUAUUUUAGAGACUGCUCGGGCUAUUCUUCUUGGUGCUCAUGUACCUAAUCAUUUUUGGACUGAUGAUGUCACUACAGCAGUUCACCUUAUUAAUCGGAUGCCUUCUAGGGUUCUUAAGUUCAAGACUCCUCUCCAGGCCCUAUCCACUGUCAUCUCUCUACCUACUGCCUUAAUGCUUCCGCCUCGAGUAUUUGGCUGUGUUGCCUUUGUUCAUUUACACAAGAAUCAACGCACUAAACUUGAUCCCUGCGCAGUCCAGUGUCUUUUUUUGGGGUAUGGCCUACAUCAAAAGGGAUAUCGCUGUUAUGAUCCAUCUAAUCAUCGCACCUAUGUGACGAUGAAUGUCACCUUCUUGGAAUCAGAGACUUUCUACUCUCCAACCACAUCCACUUCUACUCUUCAGGGGGCGCCUCAAAAUAAAGAGUUGAAUUGGCUGAGGUUUGAUUGGGAGCCUAUUGUUUCUGAAUCCAAUACAGAACUUGAUGUUGAGCCUGUUGUUUCUGUAUCCAAUACAGAACCUGAUGUUGAUGUUGACACAGAACCUGGUGUUCUACCAUUAGUAAUUGAAGAGCAACAGCCACAACAGUCGAUAGUACCCCCUCCUUCCACAGUAUCCAAAGACCCAUCUCCUGAGAAUAUUCCUGAGGUAAGUUCCCUGAACACUCUGAGUACACCUGUGUUAACUAAUGAUGCUCAUGUGGGCUAUGAGUUACCAUACAGGCAUAAUCGAGGCAAGCCACCAGAUAGAUACUCUCCUAACAUAGAAGACCGGAGGUUGAAAUACCCGAUUGCCAACUAUGUAUCCACAAAGACACUUCCAGAACCUCUAAAGACUUUCGCAGCUGCACUCUCCUCGUGUCAGGUUCCUACAAGUGUUGAAGAAGCAAUGAAAGACCCGAGGUGGGUCCAGGCUAUGAAGGAGGAGAUGGAGGCACUAUUGAAAAAUAAGACCUGGAUUCUUGUCAAUCUACCUAAAUGACAGAAAACAGUGGGGUGCAAGUGGGUGUUUUCUAUCAAAUACAAGGUAGAUGGAACAAUUGAGCGUUACAAGGCGAGACUUGUAGCAAAGGGAUUCACGCAGACAUACGGAGUUGACUAUCAGGAAACAUUCUCACCCGUUGCCAAACUAAAUACGAUGAGAGUAUUAUUGUCACUUGCAGCAAAUCUGGAUUGGCCCCUGCAUCAGUUCGAUGUAAAGAAUGCGUUUUUACAUGGUGAUCUAGAAGAAGAUAUAUAUAUGGACAUUCCCUCAGGAUAUGUAGCCAACACAGAAGGCAACAUUGUUUGCAAGUUACAAAGAACUCUAUACGGGUUGAAACAAUCACCUCGAGCUUGGUUUGGGAGAUUCAGUACAGCAAUGAAAAAGUAUGGAUUCCAGCAAAGUAACUCUGAUCACACUUUGUUCCUAAAGCAUAGACAGGGCAAACUAACUGCUCUGAUAGUCUAUGUAGACGAUAUGAUCAUCACAGGAGACGAUUCAGAGGAGAUAGUGAGACUUCAAGAGCAAUUGGCAUCUGAGUUUGAAAUGAAGAACCUAGGAGGACUAAAAUACUUUCUGGGAAUUGAAGUUGCUAGAUCAAAGCGAGGUAUAUUCCUGUCUCAGAGAAAAUAUAUUUUAGACCUAUUAACAGAGGUUGGAUUACUUGAUUGUAAGCCUACAGAAACUCCAAUAAUUCCGAAUCACAAACUUGGAGAAUAUCCCAAUCAAGUACCAACAGACAAAGGAAGGUAUCAAAGACUGGUAGGCAAGCUUAUUUAUCUUUCUCACACACGGCCGGAUAUUGCUUAUGCAGUAAGUGUGGUAAGCCAGUUUAUGCAUUGUCCAAGUGAAGAUCAUAUGAGUGCCGUUAUGCAGAUUUUGAGAUAUUUGAAGUCCUCCCCUGGAAAAGGACUUAUGUUCUCCAAAAAUGAUCACCUAAGAGUAGAAGGAUAUACAGACGCAGAUUGGGCAGGGAACAUCAUGGAUAGGAAAUCCACCUCAGGCUACUUCACUUUUGUUGGAGGAAACUUGGUUACUUGGAGAAGCAAAAAACAGAAGGUGGUCGCUCUAUCCAGUGCGGAAGCUGAGUUUCGUGGAAUGGCUAAAGGGCUAUGUGAGUUAUUGUGGCUUAGGAGACUUCUAACAGAGAUUGGUUUUGCCCCUGACUCCGAGAUGAAGUUGUUUUGUGAUAAUAAAGCAGCAAUUGACAUCUCCCAUAAUCCCAUUCAGCAUGAUCGGACUAAGCACGUAGAAGUAGAUCGACACUUUAUUAAACAAAAUCUUGAUGCAAAGAUUAUCCAAUUCCCUUUUGUGAAAUCCGAAGACCAACUAGUCGAUAUUCUUACAAAAGCUGUGAGCAGUAAAAUAUUCCAUCACUCACUAGACAAGUUGGGACUUAUUGAUAUUUACAUACCAACUUGAGGGGGAGUGUUAGCGUGAGCUGUUCUCUGAACCAUUAAAGGAGAAAAAUCAAUCACUGCAAUCAGUCACUGCAAUCCCUCAGCAAUUGUAGCCGUAAUCCAUGUAGUCCAUGUAUAGCCUUUUCUUUUAUCUAUAUAUACACUUGUACUCUAAUGAAUUGAUAUAGAAUAAAAAAAUAUCUCAGACCAACAGAUAACUGUUUUUUUUAAAUAGUUUUUUAUUCUAGAAAAAACAAAAAAGGUUUGAUAGAAGAAAAAAAACAGAAAGUAAAUUGUUUUUUGAGUAUAUAUAAAAGUUAUUUUUAAAAUAUAUUUAAAAAUAUAAAAAAUAUAUGUUUGGGAAUGAUUUUAAGAAAUGUUUUUUAUAUUUUUUAAGAUAUGAAAAUUUUUUAUUUUUUAAAAAUUAUAAAAAUUAAAAACACUUCUUAAAAUCACUAUUCAUACACUUCCAAAAUAUUUUAAAUUCUUUAACGAACUUUUGUUUUACAAAAUAUUAUAAAAUAGUUGUAAAAAAUUAUUCUCUUUUUAGAUCCGUUUUCAAAAACACUUUUUAAAUAAAGCCAUAGUAUUCACUUUUUAUGGCAUUUUUUUUUCUUUUUUCUUUUUUAUAAUUUUCAAAUAAAUUAUUGUAUAAAAUCAUAACUUUUUUCCUUUUUAGAAAAAUCUUAAACAAUGGUUGAAAAUAUUUAAAGUUAAUAAAGUUACUUAUUAAAUUAUGAUUUUAUAACCUUAAGAAAAUUGACUUACCAAACCAAUUAAAAAAUAUGUAGUAUAUUUUCUUUCACCAAUUAAGGUUUAUUUCACCAUCAAACUAAGGGAAGUUUUAAAUAUUUCUAUUAUACGGUGGACUUGAACUCCAAGUAUGAGUUUAUGAUUAUCUUGAAACAUUGGAGAGACUUGUGCAUUUUGUAUAAUUGUUGAGAUCAUGAUGCAAAAUUUUUGUUGAGUUGUGAUAAUAUAUACAAAAAUUUAUUAGAAUUUGUAUGAGAAUUGAUUUUAAAAAUAGUUUUUUGUUCCUAAAAAUAGAAAUUUGUUCUCCGAAAACUCAUUUUUGAUAUAAAUAUCAUUCACUAUUUUAAAUAUUUUAUAUAUAUAUAUAUAUUUUAAAAAGUUAUUUUUACAAGAAAAUAAUAAGGACAUUUUUGUCAAAAUGGGGCCAAAAAAUAAUAAAGGGUUAGAUUUCCAAAUUUAGGUUUCCAAUAACCAUUUUAAUCAAAUAACCCUAAUAAUUUUUGGAAAAUUUUAAGUUUGGUAUCAUUUUGAUAUAUUUUUUAUUUUAUGUUUUUAAAAAGAAAAAAUAAUAUAAACUUUUACAUUAAAUAUAAAAACUCUUUGAAACUUAUUUUAAAAAUAUAAUAAUUUUUUUUAAAGAUAAAUUCAUAAGUUUUAUAUAAAAGUCAUUAUAUUUUAUAUUUUAUAUAGAAGUUUAAAAAUAAAAAAAUUCAAAAAAGUAUUUAUUUUUAGCAAAUAAUUUUAAUAAUUAAAGCGAAUAUUAAAUAACAAAUUUUAAAUUAACAACUUAAACCUAUCAUAUCGAAUAUGAAGUAUUAAGUCGUGUACAUAUUUGUUUGUUGUAACUUCGUUAAAGUUGUUAUUGAGCUCUUUAUAUAACUUUUGACUCUGUAUUUUUUAUUCAAUUUUUUGUUAAAUAAGAAAGGGUUAUUUUCUUCUUCCAUUUCCUUGUUUUCAACUUGAUAUGGUAUUAAAGCAAAUGAUAUGAUUUGCUGCUCUUUCUCAUCUCUAAUUCUUCUUAUCUUUGUUUUCCUUUAAGAUUGUUGAGUAUUGUUGUAUUUUUUUUUUUCAAUUGUUAUGGAGACUCCAUCAUCUGAAAAUUAAUGAACCUUUCAAUCCUUUCUUCAUUAUUUGGAUAGUUCAAGACUCAUUCUUGUUUCGCAAUCUCUCAUUGAAGAUAACUAUGCCUUUAAAAGUAAAGUGAUGUCGAUUGUUUUCUCUUUGAAGAACAAACAAAUACGUACAUGACAUAAUAUGAAGGUUGGUUAGGAUUAUAGUGGAGUUUUGGUCUUCACUUUGUAAAGCCCUUUUUGCUUUCCACACUAUGGAUCCCUUGCUUUUUUGCAUCUUUAAGUUCUCAGUGUAAAACUUACUUGUACAAUAAUGAUAACCAUUCAAUAUGAUCUUAUUAGUAAAAGUUACAUGGUCGGUUACCUUGAUAAAACUGCAACUUUAAGAUAACACCCUUAUAUCAAUAAAAUAAAAAAAAGCCACCCAUGUGUCUCAUCCCACAAACAAAAAAAAAAAAUUCAAUGUGGCACAAAAAGUAUCAAUAGAUGCAAUAUUUUUAGUUUUAUAUACAAACCCUUUUAUGCAAUUCCAAAGAAGGAUGAUUUAGUUCACUUUUGUUUUAGGGUGUUUCACGUGUUUUGAUUUUUGAAGAAUUCUUUAAAGAAUUUUUUUACAUAUUUUAUAUUUUACCCUCUCAUGUCUUACAUUUGGUGCUUUACUCCCAACUUGUAAAAAAGUAACACUUUACCAUUCAGACUUGAGUCAUGUUUUCCCGUCAAUGGUGAAUGAAUUACUUCUUAAGAAAAGAAAUAAAGCUGAAAUAUAUAAAAACAAAAAUAAAAAUACAUAUAGUCUAAGUUUGAUUAUCACAUUUUAAAUAAUAUGGAAAAAUAUGAAUAAUCAUACAAUAUCUUUUCAAAAUCAAAAUUAGUGAUCGUCAUAUUUAAAAAACAUUUGAAAAUUUUUGUUUCAACGCCGUUAAUUGAAAAUUAUUUAUAUUCAAUCUCAAACCAAUGUUGGAAUUAAAGUGUGAAAAAAAAACAAACAAGCAAUUUCAUUUAUAAUUUAUAAAGGGUUCUCGAAUGAUAUCGAAGUGUUACCGUUCAACAAGUUAGGGAAUAAAAUGUUAAAUUUUAAAUAUAAUAGGAUAAAUUCUAAAAUAUGCAAAAGGUCGGCCGAUAACUUUUUUUUUUUCUAUAUGCAGCAAAAUCAAUAUUGAUAAUGUUGGUUUUAAGCUUAUUUAAAAAAAAUUGAAACCAACAAUGACAAUUAAUAUUGAUUUUAAGAAAACAAUAUUAAUGGUGCUCUUAGUCUUUUACAAAAUUAUUCAAAAACCAACAUUCCCAAAUGAGAUUUUAUAUAAAACAAAUUUUAAAAAAUAAUUAUUUCACUCCAAAAUUUGCCAAACAAGUUCUUAAAGUUUGAAUAUUAUUUUCUCUUUCUUGAUAAAAAAAAAUACUUUUAAAAAUAGUAUUUGUAGUAAAAAAAAUUGUCUUUAAACAAAAGAGUACUAAUCAUUACUUUAAAAUUUUAAAAUAAUUUUAUUGUUUUAUACUUUUUUAUUAAUAAAUUUAUUUCUUUGUAUCUUCCUCGUAUUUUGAAUUUCAUAUCUUAGACUUUUGUAAUCAAACUUUCUUGGACCCGGACCGGACCGGACCCUUGUUAUAGAAUACAAUACCUGAAAAUUUUGUUGAUCGGAAUCUUGAUGGUGAGUGACAAAUUAACCCAAAGAGGAUAUCACUGAAUUGAAGAUUUAUUUUUUCAUUAAAUACAAUUAUUAUAUAUACAUAUUUGCACACAAAUUCGUCAGACUGGAUCGAGUUCCACACAAAUUAGAUAUUUCCUAGAUGGAUUAAAUCCUUUGUGACAACAUCUGAGAAACCAUCUGCAUGGUCGGCCUAGAUUGUGGGCUGCCGUUUAAGCAUGCAGUUGCGAGCUGUAUGACAGACGUCACUUCUGCUUCGUCUCGGAAUGUGGGAGGUGGGAGUCGAGGAUCUAACACAUCUUUCAACACUACGUUAUCCUUCCCUGGUGAAUCUGAUAGAGAGGAGAUAAGAUCUCCAGGAUGUCUUCCUCUCAUCACUUCAAGUGCCAGCACUCCAAAGCUGUAGACAUCGCAUUUCUCGGUUACCUUCAUCGUGUAAGCAAGCUCUGCAAAAUCAAAAGACAGAUUAUAUAUACAUACACCUGUACGUGUUAGAUUAUUUCUUUGAUAACUGAAGAGAAGAGGGAACUGAUGUACCUGGUGCGACAUAUCCAUAUGUGCCUGCAAGAGUGCUCCAGUUUGAUGAGUCUAGCUUCAGAAACUUAGCAGUGCCAAAGUCGGAUACAUGGGCCUCAUAUUUAGAAUCCAGCAGAACAUUAUUGCUUGAUAUGUCUCGAUGAACAAUUGGAGGCACACAAUCAUGGUGCAGGUAAGACAAAGCAUGAGACACCCCUUUAAUAAUGUUUACCCUUGUACCCCAACCCACUUCCUUAGCUUGUAAUUCUUUGCUCAAGAUUGUACCCAAGCUCCCUCGUUCCAGGUACUCGUAUACCAGAAAUGAGUGUCGUGAAUGUGAGCAGAAACCCAGAAGCUUCACGAUAUUUCGAUGCUUUAUCUCUGUCAAUGCUCUUAUUUCAUUCACGAAAUCCUUUUGAUGUGCCAUGUCAAUGUCGAAUCGGUGAAGCUUCUUCACAGCUACUAUGUUACCUGACGGCAGCUCUGCUUUGUAUACGCUUCCAUGUCCUCCCUCUCCGAUGCAAUACAUGGGAUCAAAAUCCUUGGUCGCCUCUAUGAUUGCUUCAUACGUUGUUCUUCCAUCAAAAGUCGAGAUUGAGAAGAGAUUUUCAGUCUGUACAUCACCGGCCUUCUCCAUUUUUGCAUUUCUUCUUCCUUGAGAAAUCAAGGAAAUCCCAAUGAAAGCAGAAAGAAUUAGAAGUGCUCCCAAAAGAGAGAAUAUGAUUAUGAAUACAGCUUUAUGAGUACCCUUUGUUGCAGAACGAUUUUCGCAAGGUUGUAACCCUUUAACGCUACCACACAAACCUUUGUUUCCCUGCAACACUUCAAUGGUAACAUUCUGAAAUGCUUCGCUGUUGGGAAUGGAACCCUGCAAAUCAUUGUAAGAUAUGUCGACUUGCCACAAGCCAUGCAUAUCCUCAAAAGCCUUUGGAAUGAUACCAGAUAGGUUGUUAUGGGAUAGAUUAAGCUUCUCUAAGCUCUGCAAACCUUGGAUUUGUGAUGGGAUUUCACCUGUAAGUAAGUUGUGACUCAGAUCAAGCAGGGAGAGGUGACUGAGCUUGCCCAUCUGAACCGGAAUUCCGUGGCUGAGUUUGUUGUUGCUCAGGUUCAAGUAAUUCAAGUCCAAGCAGUUACCCAAGUGCUCUGGUAUUGACCCAUUCAAUCUAUUUCCUGACAGGUCUAGAUACCCAAGGUCAG
This 35783-nucleotide long non-coding RNA is filed under the name Vitis vinifera (wine grape). RNAcentral's name for it is "long non-coding RNA (VVIN_LNC005630)". Lineage: Eukaryota; Viridiplantae; Streptophyta; Magnoliopsida; Vitales; Vitaceae. The record is from RNAcentral.